GUAGGUGGCAAGCGUUGUCCGGAAUUAUUGGGCGUAAAGCGCGCGCAGGCGGUUCUUUAAGUCUGAUGUGAAAGCCCACGGCUCAACCGUGGAGGGUCAUUGGAAACUGGAGAACUUGAGUACAGAAGAGGAAAGCGGAAUUCCACGUGUAGCGGUGAAAUGCGUAGAGAUGUGGAGGAACACCAGUGGCGAAGGCGGCUUUCUGGUCUGUAACUGACGCUGAGGCGCGAAAGCGUGGGGAGCAAACAGGAUUAGAUACCCUGGUAGUCCACGCCGUAAACGAUGAGUGCUAAGUGUGAGGGGGUUUCCGCCCCUUAGUGCUGCAGCUAACGCAUUAAGCACUCCGCCUGGGAGUACGGCCGCAAGGCUG
This 370-nucleotide ribosomal RNA is filed under the name uncultured organism. Its description in RNAcentral is "partial 16S ribosomal RNA". It matches the Rfam family "Bacterial small subunit ribosomal RNA", at positions 527 to 896 of the family's 1533-position model. The record is from RNAcentral.